GACGAACGCUGGCGGCGUGCUUAACACAUGCAAGUCGAACGGAAAGGCCUGCUUUCCCUUAUGGAUUGCGGGUACUCGAGUGGCGAACGGGUGAGUAACACGUGAGUGAUCUGCCCCCAACUUGGGUAUAAGCCUGGGAAACUGGGUCUAAUUCCCGAUAGGACUGCAGGGUGGUGCCUGUGGUGGAAAACGAUUUUCUAGUGGUUGGGGAUGAGCUCGCGGCCUAUCAGCUUGUUGGUGGGGUAAUGGCCUACCAAGGCGGCGACGGGUAGCCGGCCUGAGAGGGUGGACGGCCACAUUGGGACUGAGAUACGGCCCAGACUCCUACGGGAGGCAGCAGUGGGGAAUAUUGCACAAUGGGCGGAAGCCUGAUGCAGCGACGCCGCGUGGGGGAUGACGGCCUUCGGGUUGUAAACUCCUUUCGACCGCGAGGAAGCCACCUGGUUGGAAGGGUGGUGACGGUAGUGGUAGAAGAAGCACCGGCUAACUACGUG
This 494-nucleotide ribosomal RNA is filed under the name uncultured bacterium. RNAcentral's name for it is "partial 16S ribosomal RNA". It matches the Rfam family "Bacterial small subunit ribosomal RNA", at positions 28 to 507 of the family's 1533-position model. The record is from RNAcentral.